RNAcentral lists this ribosomal RNA (563 nucleotides) under Rhabdopleura sp. 2 JTC-2014. RNAcentral's name for it is "partial 16S ribosomal RNA". The stretch from base 1 to 136 matches the Rfam family "Archaeal large subunit ribosomal RNA", at positions 1950 to 2097 of the family's 2987-position model. Lineage: Eukaryota; Metazoa; Hemichordata; Pterobranchia; Rhabdopleurida; Rhabdopleuridae. The record is from RNAcentral.
ACUGCCCAGUGCGUGUAUUUUUUGUUUAAAGUAAAAAUCGUAAAUGGCAGCGGUAUUUUGACUGUUCUAAGGUAGCGUAAUCAUUUGGCUUUUAAUUGGAGUCCGGUAUGAAUGAGUUGACGAGGGUUUUUCUGUCUUAUUUUUAUUUUAGUGAAUUUAUUUUUUAAGUUAAAAUUCUUAGAUGUUUUUUAGGGACGAUAAGACCCCGAUGAGUUUAUAUUUAAUUUGUCUUUUGUAAUUUUUUAAAUAUUUGGUUGGGGUAACUAUAAUGGUUUUGUAAUUUUUUUAAGUGUUGUCUUUGUACUUAUGAAUUUUCUUUCUUGUAAUAUUAAAAAGGAAAUAUUUGUUUUUGUUUUAGCUUUUAUUUUUAAAAAGUUUUUUUCUUGAAGUUUUAUAAGUUUUUAUUUAAAUUUUGUGUUAAGGUGUUUUAGAUAAGUUCUUUUCGAUUAAUUUAUUGUUUUGAUCUGGUAGGGUUAUUUAUACCAGUUUUAGUUAAAUUACCGCGGGGGUAACAGCGUGGUUGUCUUUUUGAGUUCUUAUCUAAAGAUAGUUCGCGACCUCGA